AUGGAGUUCCCGUCCUGGCGUAGUGGAAAAGAAUCCGACUAGGAACCAUGAGGUUGUGGUUCGAUCCCUGGCCUCGCUCAGUGGGUUAAGGGUCUGGCGUUGCCAUGAGCUGUGGCGUAGGUCGCAGACAUGGCUUGGAUCUGGCGUUGCUGUGGCAGUGGUGUAGGCUGGUGGCUACAGCUCCGAUUAGACCCCUAGGCUUGGGAACCUCCAUAUGCUGCUGGUGCGGCCCUAUAAAGACAAAAAGACAAAAAAAAAGAAAAAAAGAAAAAAAUUCAAGUUCACAACAGAGCUGAUGUGCUUUGACUCUUUUCAUCCUUCAAGGCCCAGCUCACCUACGCUUUCAGCCUUCCCAGUUCCACAGGGGUGUCACUCUUUUCUGAACUUCUGCAGCACAACCUCCAUCACAGCAGUUACUAUCACAGACUCUAUUAUCUCUUGCCAGACUCUUUGAACAGAUGUCUGUGCAAUCUCAUCUUGACCUCUUUCUCCCUUACAGGGUAGAUCUUUCUAGCUCACAACAUGGGAUGAUUUCCACUCCCUACUGAGGGAAAUUAAAAACUCCUUGAAUGUUAGCCUUAUAACACAACCCUCCAGGUAUCCCUACUCAUUCUCAAUUACCCACUAAUUGCUUGCAUGUCAUAGGCAGCUUCUGAAUCUACUUCUGACUUCAAUGUCAAGGCCUUUCCUAAUCCCCUCCCAUGUCAUAAGAAACCUUUCUCUUUGUUCCUCAAAUAGUUAACUACUGAGUAAAUUAUAUUAUAAAUUAAUGGAAUACAGGAACGGAAUUUAGUCUUGUCUUUACUUUUCCCCUCCCCUCCACCCCAGAGCAAGUACUCAGUAAAUGUUUGUGGAAUUAAACUGAAUUUUAGCAGACCGAGUUAAUCUUGGAUAAGGAAGAUAAGGUAAAUUCUAGGGUCACAGGUAAAAUUUCCAAAGAAUCAUGUUUCUUCUAUUAUUUUUUUUUUAUUGUUUUGCUUUUUGGGGCUGCACCUGCAGCAUAUGGAAGUUCCCAGGCUAGGGGUCGAAUAGGAGCUACAGCUGCCGGCCUACACCACAGCAAUGCGGGAUCCAAGCCUCGUCUGUGACCUACACCACAGCUCACAGCAACGCCAGAUCCCCGACCCACUGUGCAAGGCUGGGGAUUAAACCUGAAACCUUAUGGAUACCAGUCAGGUUUGUUUCCACUGCACCACAACAGGGAACUCCUUUCUUUAAGACAUAUGAAUUAUAACAUCAACCAAUCAUUCAACAGUAGCUCUGGGGAAGGGGUGAAGAACUCCUUCAAUAUAAAAUGUAUACAGCUAUCCAAGCUAAAAGCAAUCUCAGGGGCUAGAGAUGCCAUUUGCUUCCUACUUCUGGAUCUACCUCUCCCCCCGGCAAGAAAAUACACUUAUGCUACUUCUCCAAUAUUUAGUUCUACUAUAUUACAAGUUCUAUUCUAAUUUCUUCCUUUGUUCUUUUCUUUCUUUCUUUUGUCUUUUUAGGGUUGCAUAUGGAGGUUCUCAGGCUAGGGGUCCAAUCAGAGCUUGACUUAGCAGAGAAAGCUGAAACCUAAACCCUAAACAAAAAACUGAAGAGAAUGAUGCUGAGGCCCCUGGAAAGUUAACUUAAAAAUGCCAGUGA
RNAcentral lists this long non-coding RNA (1626 nucleotides) under Sus scrofa (pig). RNAcentral describes it as "lncRNA (ENSSSCG00060034264.1)". Lineage: Eukaryota; Metazoa; Chordata; Mammalia; Artiodactyla; Suidae. The record is from RNAcentral.